CCAACACCCCUUUCUUCAGUGUCUCCUUCGGUCUUUUAACCUGCAUAAUGGCAAUGUUUCUCCCUCGGUUGUCUAAAAUCUGCACUGACGAACCAGCAAAAGCGGGCUGGCCGCGAAAUGUGUGGCCAUCAAGGGAGAGAACAAGCAAGAUCCUUAUAUCCACCCCAUACAUGCCCCCUUCAUAAAUACAGGGUUGCGCCGCACUGAAAGUCCCGUUCCAUGUGAACCAAAUGUACAGACCCUCUAAUAUCCCCCCAUAAUAAACGGCUCCGGAAACAUGUCUGCCGGAGUAUAUUUUACCGCAU
This 305-nucleotide small RNA is filed under the name Histoplasma capsulatum. Its description in RNAcentral is "hypothetical RNA". RNAcentral also lists the same sequence under 1 other name. Lineage: Eukaryota; Fungi; Ascomycota; Eurotiomycetes; Onygenales; Ajellomycetaceae. The record is from RNAcentral.